This 721-nucleotide long non-coding RNA is filed under the name Ficedula albicollis (Collared flycatcher). RNAcentral describes it as "lncRNA (ENSFALG00000028786.1)". Lineage: Eukaryota; Metazoa; Chordata; Aves; Passeriformes; Muscicapidae. The record is from RNAcentral.
UCCAGGCAGUAAACCUAAAUAGAUCUCUGGACUCAGUGGAUGGUUCACAGGGAUGUUUAGAUACCAAGACUUAGAGUGCAGGAACUUGAACUUGAGUUUUCCGGUAUUAAGAGAAAGGCAGGGUGGCAAAUAUUUUAGUCAAGAAGUACUAUGCAGAAAUGGGAGAAUAUCCUAGUCUAUCCUGGCAGUAAAAUGUGCUACUGAAAAUGUGAUCAGAUGGCAAGAGUGUGCAGCUUCAGGUAGUGAGCUGUGUCUUCAACUUCAUGAUUGCUCUAAGAGUGCUUAUACUCUUCUCAGAAAAAUGAGACUUCACACACCUCCAGCUGUCCAUAUCCCCCAGGUGGACCAGCUGACACUGGCAACGAUGAUGAGUCACAGACAGACUGGAUCCCAAGGAUCUGCUUUUUUGGAGGAGGAAGGAGUCAGGCUGCUUAGCACUGCAGGAAAGCUAGUGCCUUGUCUGAUGUCUCACAGUAAGACACAAGAAAGAGAAUUCUGUGGAGGCUUCUUUUUCAGCUGAUCACUAGUGAGCCGACAGGUAAUUUCUAAUUAAUACUCGUCAAAUUAAACCAAGUUAGUCUGACCAAGAUGGGAGGAGAUAUGAUAUCAGAAGCUGAUCUGCCAUCCAGGAUUUUAAUUUUCUGGGACAACUGUAAGGCUCUCCUAUGUUCUGAUAGCCUCAUCAGACUCUUAAAUGCUUUAAUAUAAAAUGGGACUUUGC